GAUCCAAUAGCACAAUGGUUAGUGCACAUGCUCACAUUAAUUGCGCUGUAAAGAAUGUGUAUGCAGGAGGUCCCUGUUCGAUUCGGGGUUGGGCCA
Mycena alexandri is the source of this 96-nucleotide non-coding RNA. NCBI's taxonomy places the organism in Eukaryota, Fungi, Basidiomycota, Agaricomycetes, Agaricales, Mycenaceae. The record is from the annotation of a GenBank genome assembly.